UACGGGGGGAGCAAGCGUUGUUCGGAUUUACUGGGCGUAAAGGGCGCGUAGGCGGUCAGCACAAGUCAGUUGUGAAAUCUCCGGGCUUAACUCGGAAAGGUCAACUGAUACUGUGCGACUAGAGUGCGGAAGGGGCAACUGGAAUUCUCGGUGUAGCGGUGAAAUGCGUAGAUAUCGAGAGGAACACCUGCGGCGAAGGCGGGUUGCUGGGCCGACACUGACGCUGAGGCGCGAAAGCGUGGGGAGCGAUCCGG
Molecule: ribosomal RNA, 254 nt
Filed under: uncultured bacterium
Lineage: Bacteria
Description: partial 16S ribosomal RNA
Rfam family: Bacterial small subunit ribosomal RNA
Source: RNAcentral